Molecule: long non-coding RNA, 735 nt
Organism: Leptinotarsa decemlineata (Colorado potato beetle)
Lineage: Eukaryota; Metazoa; Arthropoda; Insecta; Coleoptera; Chrysomelidae
Source: RefSeq, a predicted model, not a curated record
CCCUCGCCUUUUUUCAUGAGAAUGAACACGAGUUAGUUAUCGUUGGGUCUCAAAAGAUAAUUUAGAAAAUAUAUUGGGUUCUUUUUCGGAGGUCAAAAUACGUUUAGGCGGAUUAACCCAUUUUAUUUUCCGGAAAUUGCGACUUUUGUAAUGGUGUAUUAGACAUGUUGCAAUUCCGUAUUCGAAUCUGAUAGUUGGAUAACGGAUUGAUCUUGACCCUGAGAAAAAUGACAUCUCCGGGAUGUUAGGUUAAUCGGCAUCGGGAGAUGUUAUGGAUUUGCGAAAUUUCGUACAUUCGAGCAGUAGACAGUUUCAACUAACCAUAAACGCUAUAUUGACCAGAGCACUUCAUUGAAACCGUAAGAACUCAGGAUUUCAUUGUUUGGUAGACCUUGGGCCAAAAUAACUUACAAGCUGUUGAUUAUUUCCGCCCUGGAUGGCUACUGCUGUCGAUCUUCGAGGAAACGAAUGCUAAGUACCUCGCAGAAGAUUUGAAGUUUCUUUAUUUAGUGUUGUUGAAAACAUUUAUCGUUAUCGUUUUUUUUGUUACAAAAGCAAUGAGUCGUACUGUUGAGUUAGGUCAAUUAAGAAAUUGUUGGACGUACUUUCACAUUGGAUAAAUGUCGUUCAGCGAUUUCGGGAUCCCUUUUUCCUUGAUUAUAUAAGGAGUAUACGUAACUUUCGGAAGUCUUUGUUAAUUUGUCAUUAUAGUGAUUAAAAGUUUCGUGAAAUGAG